CGAUCGGUAGACGAUACGGAGAAAAUCCGUUGGCUUUAUUGACCGUGAGGGUUCAAGUCCCUCUACCCCCA
This 71-nucleotide transfer RNA is filed under the name Rosulabryum billarderi. Its description in RNAcentral is "partial tRNA-Leu". The record is from RNAcentral. Lineage: Eukaryota; Viridiplantae; Streptophyta; Bryopsida; Bryales; Bryaceae.